CGAUUUCUCCGAAGAUCCUGUACAGCCUGUUUUCUUCCCGGAGGAGAAAACACUGCUAUGGAAACCAGAGCGCUGACUGGGUGGGGAUUAUGGCGCGGGGGUACCGACUGAACUCUUCCCUGGCGACCUUUGCCUGGGCCUUUGCAGCUGCUUCUUCAACACAAGCCGCUCUGUCCUCCUGCGGGAGAAAGGGCAGUGCUCACUUGACCACCUGAGACUUAUGUUCCUCACCAGAGGAUUAGAUUCUAGGAACUGUGAUGGACACAGAGAUCUUGUCCAAGAUGAUUUACAGUCAAUCAGACUGUUGUGUGGCUGGAUGCCUGACUGUGCUUCCCAUGACAUCUGACAACAAUGGGGGUCAAGGAAGUCUCCAUUGCCCUAAAUCGAUGGUCACCUUGGAUUCCAGAAGAGCUCACCUCACUGAAUUUACCCUUUAAAUCAUGAAGGUUCAUCCCAUAGAAAAUGGAUUGCCUUUCAAGUUAAGAAG
This is a long non-coding RNA of Octodon degus (degu), 487 nucleotides long. RefSeq lists it as uncharacterized. Lineage: Eukaryota; Metazoa; Chordata; Mammalia; Rodentia; Octodontidae. The record is from RefSeq and is a predicted model, not a curated record. The transcript has 4 exons.